AGCAUAUCAAUAAGCGGAGGAAAAGAAACCAACAGGGAUUGCCUUAGUAACGGCGAGUGAAGCGGCAACAGCUCAAAUUUGAAAGCUGGCCCUUUCAGGGUCCGCAUUGUAAUUUGUAGAGGAUGAUUCGGCGAGGGCUCCCGCCUAAGUCCCCUGGAACGGGGCGUCAUAGAGGGUGAGAAUCCCGUAUGCGGUGGGCUGCCUUAGCCAUGUGAAUCUCCUUCGACGAGUCGAGUUGUUUGGGAAUGCAGCUCUAAAUGGGAGGUAAAUUUCUUCUAAAGCUAAAUACCGGCCAGAGACCGAUAGCGCACAAGUAGAGUGAUCGAAAGAUGAAAAGCACUUUGGAAAGAGAGUUAAAAAGUACGUGAAAUUGUUGAAAGGGAAGCGCUUGCAACCAGACUUGUCCGCAGUUGCUCAGCCGGUCUCCUGACCGGCGUACUCUUCUGCGGCCAGGCCAGCAUCAGUUCGGGCGGUCGGAUAAAGACCUCGGGAAUGUAGCUCCUCUCGGGGAGUGUUAUAGCCCGGGGUGGAAUGCGGCCAGCCNGGACUGAGGAUCUCGCUUCGGCAAGGAUGCUGGCGUAAUGGUUGUAAGCGGCCCGUCUUGAAACACGGACCAAGGAGUCUAACAUCUAUGCGAGUGUUUGGGUGUCAAACCCAUACGCGUAAUGAAAGUGAACGGAGGUGGGAACCCGCAAGGGUGCACCAUCGGCCGAUCCUGAUGUCUUCGGAUGGAUUUGAGCAAGAGCAUAGCUGUUGGGACCCGAAAGAUGGUGAACUAUGCCUGAAUAGGGUGAAGCCAGAGGAAACUCUGGUGGAGGCUCGCAGCGGUUCUGACGUGCAAAUCGAUCGUCAAAUUUGGGUAUAGGGGCGAAAGACUAAUCGAACCAUC
RNAcentral lists this ribosomal RNA (889 nucleotides) under Diplodia scrobiculata. RNAcentral's name for it is "LSU rRNA". It matches the Rfam family "Eukaryotic large subunit ribosomal RNA", at positions 37 to 944 of the family's 3401-position model. Lineage: Eukaryota; Fungi; Ascomycota; Dothideomycetes; Botryosphaeriales; Botryosphaeriaceae. The record is from RNAcentral.